This 542-nucleotide ribosomal RNA is filed under the name uncultured bacterium. RNAcentral's name for it is "bacterial SSU rRNA". It matches the Rfam family "Bacterial small subunit ribosomal RNA", at positions 90 to 628 of the family's 1533-position model. The record is from RNAcentral.
GACGACCGGCGCACGGGUGAGUAACGCGUAUGCAACCUGCCUAUAAGAGGGGGAUAGCCUUUCGAAAGAAAGAUUAAUACCGCAUAAUACUAUUUACCUGCAUGGGUAAAUAGUUAAACUAUUUGGCUUAUAGAUGGGCAUGCGUUCCAUUAGAUAGUUGGUGAGGUAACGGCUCACCAAGUCAGCGAUGGAUAGGGGUUCUGAGAGGAAGGUCCCCCACACUGGUACUGAGACACGGACCACACUCCUACGGGAGGCAGCAGUGAGGAAUAUUGGUGGGGGGGGCGAGAGCCUAAACCAGCCAAUUCGCGUGAAGGAUGAAGGUCUUAUGGAUUGUAAACUUCUUUUAUAAGGGAAUAAAAAAGAUCACGUGUGGUCUAUUGCAUGUACCUUAUGAAUAAGCAUCGGCUAACUCCGUGCCAGCAGCCGCGGUAAUACGGAGGAUGCGAGCGUUAUCCGGAUUUAUUGGGUUUUAAAGGGUGCGUAGGCGGUUUAUUAAGUCAGUGGUGAAAGUUUUCGGCUCAACCGGGAAAAUUGCCAUU